UACAGAGGGGGCAAGCGUUGUUCGGAAUUACUGGGCGUAAAGGGCGCGUAGGCGGCCUGCUAAGUCGGACGUGAAAUCCCUCGGCUCAACCGGGGAACUGCGUCCGAUACUGGUGGGCUUGAAUCCGGGAGAGGGAUGUGGAAUUCCAGGUGUAGCGGUGAAAUGCGUAGAUAUCUGGAGGAACACCGGUGGCGAAGGCGGCAUCCUGGACCGGUAUUGACGCUGAUGCGCGAAAGCCAGGGGAGCAAACGGG
Molecule: ribosomal RNA, 253 nt
Filed under: uncultured bacterium
Lineage: Bacteria
Description: partial 16S ribosomal RNA
Rfam family: Bacterial small subunit ribosomal RNA
Source: RNAcentral